AUGUACCUUUCCGGAGGCCGAUCCAACGGUGUCGUUGCGUGGCGUUUUGAUGUAGGGGUUUUAAUUCCCACCGACCCAACACUGGAGCUGUGCCGUUCAACUGUCAACACAGCAAAGCUACGGAGCAAUCUCUCAUCUCUGUAAGCUCGCGGAUCAUGAGGAAGAAGAAGAAGACGAAAUCCGAAGUUAAGUUUUGGCCCCUCGUCCAAACACACUGAGAAGAUGGGAACACGUGGACUCGGAGGCAUCUUUUGUGUUUAUCGAAUUGCCAUUGCAAUGCCUCGUUGUUAUCGAAAUUUAAGUUUAAAAGGAACCUUAAGCGGAGUGGAAAUAGAAGGGAGUUUAUUCAGAGCGCAGGAGCGGAAACAUCAAUGGAAGAUAAGAAUUUGGAAAAGCCAAUUCCUGAAGGGUGGGAGUUGAAGGAUGAAGGCUCCAAAACCUCGCACUACUUGUGUCCUGCAACUGGUCAGCAUUUUUCAACAUAUGAUGAUCUUAUGCGAUAUGUGAACUAUGCGAAGGAGAACAAGCUUUCAAUAUAUGCACCGGAUUGUAAGUUCAACAAACUGAAGAGGAAACGCAGGAAGAACAAACCUAUAUCUUUAACCAGGAAAACUCUGGCGGUCAAAGCUCAAGGCCGCUGCCUGUGAAUCUGGGUAAAGAAAGAGAGGAAACCGCCAACCCUAUGGAAAGCAAUGAUACUGGGAAGGACACUGAAGCUGGUGAGGCUGGGAAGAAGAGCAUUCAAGCUGGUGACCUUGAAGCAUCAGAAGCUAUGAAAGAAUAAGGCUCCGAGGUUAUCCAUUUGUCUCUGCAGGGUGCGGAGUAUUCACCUUUCUGUUGAUUGUCGGAUUGCUCUUUUCUCCGGUUUCUUCGGAAUAAUGCAUUUCCAGUUUGGUUAAUUCCUGAAUUUACUUUGGUAUUUUAAUUUUAGUCUUGUAUGCAUUAUGGCAUGAGAGGCCAACGAUUCAUUAUAAAAACGAAUAGAAGGGACAGAUUGUUGUUUCAAUCUGAUUCGAUCCAAGGUGUUUUGGGAUUA
Molecule: small RNA, 1036 nt
Filed under: Malus domestica (apple)
Lineage: Eukaryota; Viridiplantae; Streptophyta; Magnoliopsida; Rosales; Rosaceae
Description: sRNA MD01G0035000
Source: RNAcentral